Oryzias latipes (Japanese medaka) is the source of this 659-nucleotide long non-coding RNA. RefSeq lists it as uncharacterized. The record is from RefSeq and is a predicted model, not a curated record. Lineage: Eukaryota; Metazoa; Chordata; Actinopteri; Beloniformes; Adrianichthyidae.
CCAAACUUUGGUGUGUUGGAAAUUUGUCUGGCCGAAGAUACAAAUCCAGAAGAUCAGCCGAGUUGUCCUGCAUAGAGCUGCAAUAGCAGUUCAAGUGGAGAUACUGAAGUGGACUCAGAUGACACCAUAAUAUUACAACACAGUCCUACAACAAGACGAAGACUUGAAGACACCUCUCUUGCCAAAGUGGUUGCUGUCAUUGGUGAGGAUGCAUCAUCCGUUGAAGGUCAUGUGAAUGUCCUGCAUAUCCACUACAGCAAGGUGCGAGAGGAUAUACUAAAGAAUUACCCUUUCUUGAAGACAACCUCACGGUUGUUUGAUGUUGACCGAAUGCAUCCAUCACCUGUCAGUUUAAGCCAGCGCUUCAAGGACGGCGUUUACCAGUAUUGUGCCAAAGGUGCUUGAGCUUGUUCAAAGAAAAGCUCCAUUAGCCAAAGUCUCCAAAGAAGCAAGAGAAGAGAUGCUUGCAGAGGAUCUACUAGGUAUUGACAUAAACGUAAUCCUUGUUAAUCUUUAGUGUGUUUUAUAGUUCUCCUUUUUAGAAUUCGUAUCAAUAUUAUCUUAUCACAUUUAUGCAUUUUAUUAUUUAAAUUAUGCAUUUAAACUUGGUUAUAAGUUUACUUUUUUAUUUAUUUUUAGAAAAUGUAGAAUGCAGUAAA